ACGCCGGGCAAAUCUCAGAAAUAACGUCCCAGUUCGGAUUGUAGUCUGCAACCCGACUACAUGAAGCUGGAAUCGCUAGUAAUCGCGAAUCAGAAUGUCGCGGUGAAUACGUUCCCGGGUCUUGUACACACCGCCCGUCACACCAUGGGAGUCGGAAAUGCCCGAAGUCAGUGACCCAACCGUAAGGAGGGAGCUGCCGAAGGUGGAGCCGGUAACUGGGGUGAAGUCGUAACAAGGUACC
This 241-nucleotide ribosomal RNA is filed under the name uncultured bacterium. Its description in RNAcentral is "partial 16S ribosomal RNA". It matches the Rfam family "Bacterial small subunit ribosomal RNA", at positions 1260 to 1500 of the family's 1533-position model. The record is from RNAcentral.